This 404-nucleotide ribosomal RNA is filed under the name Actinomycetes bacterium. RNAcentral's name for it is "Actinobacteria bacterium partial 16S ribosomal RNA". It matches the Rfam family "Bacterial small subunit ribosomal RNA", at positions 355 to 776 of the family's 1533-position model. The record is from RNAcentral. Lineage: Bacteria; Bacillati; Actinomycetota; Actinomycetes.
UGGGGAAUAUUGGACAAUGGGCGCAAGCCUGAUCCAGCCAUGCCGCGUGAGUGAUGAAGGCCCUAGGGUUGUAAAGCUCUUUCACCGGUGAAGAUAAUGACGGUAACCGGAGAAGAAGCCCCGGCUAACUUCGUGCCAGCAGCCGCGGUAAUACGAAGGGGGCUAGCGUUGUUCGGAUUUACUGGGCGUAAAGCGCACGUAGGCGGACUAUUAAGUCAGGGGUGAAAUCCCGGGGCUCAACCCCGGAACUGCCUUUGAUACUGGUAGUCUUGAGGUAGAGAGAGGGGAGUGGAAUUCCGAGGGUAGAGGGGAAAUUCGUAGAUAUUCGGAGGAACACCAGUGGCGAAGGCGGCUCACUGGCUCGAUACUGACGCUGAGGUGCGAAAGCGUGGGGAGCAAACAGG